GUGAGCCCGCGGGCGCCAGGGGACAACGGGCGGGCAACGAGCUGCGGGCGCAGGUUGCAGAUCGCGCAGCCGGCUGGGCUUUACACGGUUCGUGCCCUGCUCCACGGCUUCCCGCGCACGCCAACCCUGCAAGGUAGUCCUCGACUUACAACAGUUCGUUUAGUGACCGUUCAAAGUUCAAAGAGUCCUGAAAAACAUGGCUGAUGAUCGUUUUUUCACCCUUACGACGGUGGCCGCAUCCCCAGGGUCACAUGACCAAAAUUCAGAUACUUGGCGACUGACUCAUGCUUACGACAGUCAAGCGUCCCAAGGUCACGUGAUCCCCUUUCGCAACCUUCUGACAAUGGGGAAGCCACGAUUCACUUAACAACCGUGUGACUCACUGAACAACUGCAGGGAUCCACUUAACCAACGGUGGCAAGAGAGGUCGCGACAAUGGGGCAAAAACUUCACUGAACAUACGUCUCACAUAGCAACGAAAAUUUGGGGCUCGAGUCGUAAGUUUGAGGAGUUCCGAUACCCCGCCCCAUCUUUCAGACUAAGGCUGUGAAUUGUGUUUUGUAUUUCUGUAGUAUUUUAUUGAUAUUGGUUUUUAUCUUGAUAUAGUAAACGGCUCUGCGUUACCUUGUUAGGUCAGCAGGGGGCGCUUUCCAGACUGAAAGGGGUCUUAAAGCCAGGAAUUCCAACUCUGUCCAACCGGCCCUCCCCCCCCGAAGUUGGUUGGGCACAUUCCUGCCCCCCCAACCCACAUCUCCAGCCUUUCGGCCCCCCAAAAAGAUGAUUUGGGGAUCUCUUGGAAGCAGCCUUUCCAAAGAUGAAGCAUUGGACUGCAAGGACCAUCCUCCCCAGCCGACAUCGCAGGAGGGAAGCUGAAGACCAGCCAAUCCCUCUGCAUGGUGGCUGAUGGUGAAGUUUGGUCCGCAGCCCUAGUAGGACUACAAUUCCAACGAUGCUGAUCCUUGGCAAGCCUGGGUGGGGAACAUAACCAUUGUAGUCCACCCUCCCUGGGAAGGGAGCAGAAACAAACAUUAAGGCAGCGAGGGGAUAAUGUAUUUUAAGACCUCCUCUCUAUUCCUUGGCCUGGGAAUCCAAUAAAGGCUGGACUACAACUCCCAUCAGCCCCAGCUGACUGCCCUCUUGGCUUUUUUGACCCCACUGUGCGGCACGUUGACGGAGACGAUCAAUACAUGUGCUUAAAUAAAUAAAUACUUACGUUGAAUGUAUAAACCUUUUAAGAAAACACGUUUUAUGUUGAACGGAUGUUUAACACCAAAAAAAUUGGUUUAUGUUGAAUGAAUUUAUGAUGUUUCGAUAAAUAAAUGUUUACGUUAAAUGGAUAACUAUUUAAUAAAUCAUUGUGCUGUAGCUGCCAUGUUUAGGAUAUUCUGUUGCGGAUUUUUAAAAUGUUUUCAGCCGCCUGGAGUCGCUUGUGGGCAAGUUGGGAAGCCGUAUAAAUUUGCUUUCCUAAAAUAAAAUUGCCUUUCAUA
Long non-coding RNA from Ahaetulla prasina, 1487 nucleotides. RefSeq lists it as uncharacterized. The record is from RefSeq and is a predicted model, not a curated record. The transcript is spliced from 2 exons. Lineage: Eukaryota; Metazoa; Chordata; Lepidosauria; Squamata; Colubridae.